This is a non-coding RNA of Acanthosepion pharaonis, 110 nucleotides long. NCBI's taxonomy places the organism in Eukaryota, Metazoa, Mollusca, Cephalopoda, Sepiida, Sepiidae. The record is from the annotation of a GenBank genome assembly.
UUACGGCCACAUCACUUUGAAACAUUGGUUUCCAUACGAGCAACGAAGUUAAGCAUCGUCGAGCCUGGUCAGUACUUAGAUGGAUGACCGUUUGGGAAUACCAAAUGUUA